RNAcentral lists this long non-coding RNA (474 nucleotides) under Musa acuminata (dwarf banana). Its description in RNAcentral is "long non-coding RNA (MACU_LNC009816)". Lineage: Eukaryota; Viridiplantae; Streptophyta; Magnoliopsida; Zingiberales; Musaceae. The record is from RNAcentral.
UAAAUCUAUGGUAACUCCUUGUUGGAAACCUUGAUUCGUACGAAAUUUAUUUCAUCAGAAACUAGAUUGAAAUAUCUUUCCAAUGAUAUAUUUUCUGAGUAAAAUUGGAGCACGAUUGAUAGUUUGAUUCAUUUGUUCAAUGUGCCUCUUGUAUUCUGCCAGAAAUCGAGCUUUGGUCGAUUUCUCAUAUUCUGGUUUCAUUCCUUUGGAAAUUGAUAUCCUUUGGCUUUCUUAUUCAAUUGAGCUUUAUAUUACUGCUUUGAAUUCUUGUAUGCUCUUGUCCUUAAAGUUAUUUGCAUUCUUGAAAACUAUCGUGUAACGUUUAUGCUAUAUAGUAUUGACUCAUAUAGGCACAUGUAUAUCCCAUUGUUCCGCAUUUGCUUUCGAUAUGUGCCUAUUCCAGUUUCAUUCAUUUGGACAUUGAAUUCAUCUAACCUUCUUAUUUGAAUUGAGUUAUAUGCUCUUGCUUGGAAU